RNAcentral lists this ribosomal RNA (33 nucleotides) under Marchantia emarginata subsp. tosana. RNAcentral's name for it is "Marchantia tosana partial 26S rRNA". Lineage: Eukaryota; Viridiplantae; Streptophyta; Marchantiopsida; Marchantiales; Marchantiaceae. The record is from RNAcentral.
CUGACCUCAGAUCAGGCAAGACCACCCGCUGAG